GUCUCUCUGGAGGCCAGGGUCUCUCCUGGGGUAGGGGUCUCUCUGUGGGGGGUAGACAGCAUCUUUCCUGGGCCUAGGGUCUCCCAGGGCCUCUCCCUGGGGUCCCGGGUCUCUCCUGGGGCCGGGGUCUCUCCUGGGGCCGGGGUCUCUCUGUCUGGUGGGACAGGGUCUUUCCUGGGGCUAGGGGCUCUCCUGGGGCCGAGGUCUCUCUGUCUGGGGGGGACAGGAUCUCUCCCUGGGGUCCCGGGUCUCUCAGUCUGGGGGGACAGGGUCUUUCCUGGGGCUAGGGUCUCUGCUGGGGGUCCCAGGUCUCUCCUAGGGCCAGGAUCUCUCUCUCUCUCUCCCCCAGGGUCUAGAGUUUCUCCUGGGGCCAGGGUCUCUCUCUCUCUGGGGGUCCCGGGUCUCUCCUGGGGCCAGGGUCUCUCUCUCUGGGGAUCCCAGGUCUCUCCUGGAGCCAGGGUCUCUCUCUUUCUGGGGAUCCCAGGUCUCUCCUGGGGCCAGGGUCUCUCUCUCUCUCUGGGGAUCCCAAGUCUCUCCUGGGGCCGGGGUCUCUCUCUCUCUCUCUCUCUCUCUCUCUCUGGGGAUCCCAGGUCUCUCCUAGGGCCAGGGUCUCUCUCUCUCUCUGGGGGUCCCGGGUCUCUCCUGGGGCCGGGGUCUCUCUCUCUCUGGGCCCUGGACUCCCCCCUCGGGCUCACCUGGGGCCUGCCGGGGGUCGCUUUCCCCUUCCGCUCCCUCCCUCGCCGCCCCGUGCUGCGGCUCCUCCCCCUCCUCGUCCUCGUCCUCCUCCGCGGCCGGGGUCGGAGCCGAGGCUGGGCCGGGCCAGGCCGGGGUCGGGGGCGCGGCCUGCGGGUCCCUCCCGAUCCCCGGCCUCGCGUAGCGGCGGCGGCGGCGGCGGCGGCGGCGGCGGCGGCGGCGGGUCCCGGGCGGGGCCUGGGGGUCCGGCUGGCUCCGGGCCGGGGAGGGGGGGCGGCGUCGGCGGGAGCAGGGGCGGAGGCGGGGGCGGAGGGCGAGGGCGAGCGUGCGAGGCGAGCGUGA
Molecule: long non-coding RNA, 1035 nt
Filed under: Phascolarctos cinereus (koala)
Lineage: Eukaryota; Metazoa; Chordata; Mammalia; Diprotodontia; Phascolarctidae
Description: lncRNA (ENSPCIG00000032675.1)
Source: RNAcentral